Molecule: non-coding RNA, 199 nt
Filed under: Enterococcus gilvus
Lineage: Bacteria; Bacillati; Bacillota; Bacilli; Lactobacillales; Enterococcaceae
Description: T-box sequence
Rfam family: T-box leader
About the family: Uncharged tRNA acts as the effector for transcription antitermination of genes in the T-box leader family. T-boxes are found upstream of many aminoacyl-tRNA synthetase genes and some amino acid biosynthetic genes usually in Gram-positive bacteria. The anticodon of a specific tRNA base pairs to a specifier sequence within the T-box motif, and the NCCA acceptor tail of the tRNA base pairs to a conserved bulge in the T-box antiterminator hairpin.
Source: RNAcentral
GUAAACACAUAGAAGAGAAGAAGUAGCAAGCGGAGAUGUUCCAGAGAGAUUGCGGGUGGUGGAAGCAAUCAUAUCAACGCUUACGAAAUGCAUCUCCGAGUGGCCUUGGCGACACGUAGUCAAGGACGGUUCACAGACGUUACCUGUUUCAAGGCAGAAAUUGCAAACAAAAGUGGGACCACGUAAAAGCGUCUUUUGA